GAUGAAACGCUGGCGGUCUGCUUAACACAUGCAAGUCGAACGAACUCUUCGGAGUGAGUGGCGGACGGGUGAGUAACGCGUGAGAAUCUGGCUGUGGGUCGGGGACAACCACUGGAAACGGUGGCUAAUACCGGAUGAGACUUCGAAGCCCUCGGGCUUUGCGGAAAAAGAUGGCCUCUUCUUGAAAGCUAUCGCCUGUGGAUGAGCCCGCGUCUGAUUAGCUUGUUGGUGAGGUAAAGGCUCACCAAGGCGACGAUCAGUAGCUGGUCUGAG
RNAcentral lists this ribosomal RNA (273 nucleotides) under uncultured cyanobacterium. RNAcentral describes it as "partial 16S ribosomal RNA". It matches the Rfam family "Bacterial small subunit ribosomal RNA", at positions 27 to 296 of the family's 1533-position model. Lineage: Bacteria; Bacillati; Cyanobacteriota. The record is from RNAcentral.